This 745-nucleotide long non-coding RNA is filed under the name Triticum aestivum (bread wheat). RNAcentral's name for it is "long non-coding RNA (TAES_LNC004042)". Lineage: Eukaryota; Viridiplantae; Streptophyta; Magnoliopsida; Poales; Poaceae. The record is from RNAcentral.
CACGGUACGCGCGGACCAGGUGGUUCUCGCACGGCUCGGGCAUUUUUCUGUUCCACCCUGAGCCGUGCCCGUGACCCGGUCUCCCUCACGGCCACCUGCCCCGGCCCUCCAUAAUUGCAUCCCCCACCCAUGCUCCCCCUCGCAACCAACACGGCCCAAUCUAGCAUCGUACUCAGCCGCUGCAACUGCACGAGAGCCAUGCCCGUGUCAGCUUCCUCCUCUGAUGGCGUACCCUUGCUGCGACGCGGAGCUAGUCACCGCCAUAGCUGGAGGGUCAGAAACCUAGAUCCAGGUUCUACAAGUGCAUCCUAUACGACGUGAGCAUCAUCCCUUGUGUACUUUUGCGUGUUUUAUUUAUAUCCUGCUUUUCGUUGACCCUGAUCCGUUUACUCCGAAUCAGAUCGGUCGUGUUGUGGCGUUCGCAGGCAUCAAUGAAGCAUAUCAGCAGGCUACCCAGUCUUAACCUGCAAAAAUACUAAGUUCCUGCUAAUAGCAUUGGACAUGCAGUUCGAUCUGGCAGACAAAUGUUAAUUUCUUUUGUUCUCUGUUAUUCGCCUGCCUUAACAUAGGAUUUAUCUGAAUAUAAGUUAACUGAGCGGCUACGCCAUCUAGCUAACUGAACCAUGCUGAAUACAACUACCUGCUGCUACCAUUUUCAACUGUAGAACCACAUUUGCGCACCACAAACUGAUUCCUCGAACAGAUCAGUUAUCUCCAGAUGCGCACAAAAAUAAACUUACGAUCU